UGUGGUUCUAAAAAUAAAGUUAGUUUCUUUUGACAAGUGGCUCCUGAUCGUGCCCAGCCAGACUGCGGCAGUCCUUUGUUAGUUACAUGUGUCCUAAAUAUCUUUCCCAGUUUGUUGACUUUGUGGUAUCUUUUGAGAAAACAGACUUUGUUUUUUGACUAGGGAUUGAACCCAGGGCCUCUCACAAACUAGGCAAGUGCUCUACCACUGGGCUAUGCCCCCGUCUCCCUUUUAAAAUUUUAUUUUGAGACAGGGUCUCACUAAUUGGCCCAGACUGGCCUCAAACUCAUGAUCCUCCUGCCUCAGCCUCCCAAGUGGCUGGGAUUACAGGUGUGCACUAUCAUGCCUGGCUUCCAGUUUUAAAUGUUAAAGUAGAGAAUUAUUUUAUAUUUUCAUUUAUGUUUUAUACUUUUUGUUCUUGCUUAACAAAUUGUUGAUACCCCCAAAAUAAAAAUUAUUCUAUGUUCUUCUAAAAAUUUAAAAAAUUUCCCUUCACAGGAAUGUCCUUACUGUCGUGUUCCACAACUAAACACUCA
This 536-nucleotide long non-coding RNA is filed under the name Marmota monax (woodchuck). Lineage: Eukaryota; Metazoa; Chordata; Mammalia; Rodentia; Sciuridae. The record is from RNAcentral.